AUGCACUAUUUCUCAACGUCAUAUGGAUGUGCUACCGAGUGAAACGGUGUAAUGAAGUUUAACUCGGCAAGCCAAUUAAGAACAAAUUCUUAUUUACAUUGACGGCCUACCCCUGUUUCCAGUUAUCCACAAGGCUAGGAGAACCUAUUCAAGUAAGUUGUCUGUCCUCAGAUAAAGAGCUCUAUGAAAGCCAGUCUACAUAUGAAGAGGUCCCAAUGAAGAGCAGUGGUUCUCAGUCCUGGGGACUCAGAGGGGCACAUUUUGGUUUUUACCUUCACACUGCACAGCUGAUUCAAAUAAUCAACUCAUUAUCAAGCUUCAGAUUGCCUACAGUUAACAUGUAGGGCAAUGCAAGGUUGGGUGACCAAGAACCAGGAGGGUAUCUGCAGCUCGCCGCCGUGUGCCAGAGGAGAAGUCUGCUGCUCUGCAGGAUGUUUCAAGGAUGGGGUCCAACAACGCAGCAAGAGAGGCAACCCGUGUGCAGGAGAUCUUCACCUCCUACUUCUUCAAAGAGGGUG
Molecule: long non-coding RNA, 518 nt
Organism: Salmo salar (Atlantic salmon)
Lineage: Eukaryota; Metazoa; Chordata; Actinopteri; Salmoniformes; Salmonidae
Source: RefSeq, a predicted model, not a curated record